UUGUGGACAAAGUCCUAAGUUUCUCACAAUAUAGGUCCCCAACCACUGACCAAACUCCAGUCCAGGCAGCCAGCAGGCCCAGGGCUGCUUCCUUUGGCAGCUCCCAAGGUCUGGGAGGAAGAGGUCCUGCCCCAGGGGGUCUGUCAGGCCAUUCCUGCAGCUCCAUCCCACCCCACAGGGACCCCUGCCUCGCACCUGAGAGGAGCCCUCUUCCUGGAGCUGGGAUCUGAUGCUUGUUGGCACCGACAGCAGAUACCAGGCAUCAGGCCAUAGAGAAAGAUGCGGAGCCCUACGCUGACAAUCCCUCUGUGCCUCCAUUUCCUCACCUGCACAUGGCAGGAUUACACUUCCUUGCCUCCUUCGAAGUUGGAUGUGACCAUGUGACUUGUCUUGGCCAAUGAAAUGUGAACAGAAACCAUCUGUGUCACACCUGAGCAGAAGGUUUAAGAGCUAGUACUUAGGUUGUUGUGGAAGCACAUACAGAUAUGGAGUCACCAGGAAGCGAAGAGCCCCCUGCCAGCCCAUGCCAGAUAUGUAUUGUAAGUGAGCAGUAAAUAUCUGCUGUGUUAGCACGGAGGCAUGUGCUUAUUUUGGUCAUUGUGGCAAAGUCUCACCUAUCUUUACUGAACACGUUCUUUCCAAAGCUUCACUGAUAUUCCUAUGACCAUUACAAUUUGUCAUAUCUGAAAACCACUUACACUAUUAACACUUCUUAACAUCAACUCACUUAUUUUAACUUAGAUUUAUUUUAGAAGGAAAUGUUAUUACUACCAAAUGAAACACCAGUAUCAUAAGUAGAAACCAAAGGGGAAAUAAACAGAGUGAAAUAAACUGUUAUAUUAUAUCC
Myotis myotis is the source of this 847-nucleotide long non-coding RNA. RefSeq lists it as uncharacterized. The transcript is spliced from 3 exons. The record is from RefSeq and is a predicted model, not a curated record. Lineage: Eukaryota; Metazoa; Chordata; Mammalia; Chiroptera; Vespertilionidae.